RNAcentral lists this ribosomal RNA (585 nucleotides) under uncultured bacterium. RNAcentral describes it as "partial 16S ribosomal RNA". It matches the Rfam family "Bacterial small subunit ribosomal RNA", at positions 355 to 1375 of the family's 1533-position model. The record is from RNAcentral.
UGGGGAAUUUUGGACAAUGGGCGAAAGCCUGAUCCAGCAAUGCCGCGUGUGUGAAGAAGGCCUUCGGGUUGUAAAGCACUUUUGUCCGGAAAGAAAUCCUUGGCUCUAAUACAGUCAGGGGAUGACGGUACCGGAAGAAUAAGCACCGGCUAACUACGUGCCAGCAGCCGCGGUAAUACGUAGGGUGCAAGCGUUAAUCGGAAUUACUGGGCGUAAAGCGUGCGCAGGCGGUUUGCUAAGACCGAUGUGAAAUCCCCGGGCUCAACCUGGGAACUGCAUUGGUGACUGGCAGGCUAGAGUAUGGCAGAGGGGGGUAGAAUUCCACGUGUAGCAGUGAAAUGCGUAGAGAUGUGGAGGAAUACCGAUGGCGAAGGCAGCCCCCUGGGCCAAUACUGACGCUCAUGCACGAAAGCGUGGGGAGCAAACAGGAUUAGAUACCCUGGUAGUCCACGCCCUAAACGAUGUCAACUAGUUGUUGGGGAUUCAUUUCCUUAGUAACGUAGCUAACGCGUGAAGUUGACCGCCUGGGGAGUACGGUCGCAAGAUUAAAACUCAAAUGAAUUGACGGGGUCAUAGCUGUUUCCU